CAGCCGCCGCGGUAAUACGGAGGGUGCAAGCGUUAUCCGGAUUCACUGGGUUUAAAGGGUGCGUAGGCGGGUAGGUAAGUCAGUGGUGAAAUCCUGGAGCUCAACUCCAGAACUGCCAUUGAUACUAUCUAUCUUGAAUAUUGUGGAGGUAAGCGGAAUAUGUCAUGUAGCGGUGAAAUGCUUAGAUAUGACAUAGAACACCCAUUGCGAAGGCAGCUUACUACGCAUAUAUUGACGCUGAGGCACGAAGCGUGGGGAUCAAACAGGAUUAGAUACCCUGGUAGUCCACGCCCUAAACGAUGGAUACUCGACAUACGCGAUACACUGUGUGUGUCUGAGCGAAAGCAUUAAGUAUCCCACCUGGGAAGUACGUUCGCAAGAAUGAAACUCAAAUGAAUUGACGG
Molecule: ribosomal RNA, 404 nt
Filed under: Bacteroidetes bacterium enrichment culture clone LiUU-18-728
Lineage: Bacteria; Pseudomonadati; Bacteroidota
Description: bacterial SSU rRNA
Rfam family: Bacterial small subunit ribosomal RNA
Source: RNAcentral